Molecule: non-coding RNA, 120 nt
Organism: Xyrichtys novacula (pearly razorfish)
Lineage: Eukaryota; Metazoa; Chordata; Actinopteri; Labriformes; Labridae
Source: the annotation of a GenBank genome assembly
AAAAGUGACGUCACCGACUUCAGAGUCAGGAGUUGGUGACGUCACAUUUUCUCUUUAGCUGAAAGCCAAAAUGUGACGUCACCGACUUUAGAGUCAGGAGUUGGUGACGUCACACUUUGU